This 253-nucleotide ribosomal RNA is filed under the name uncultured bacterium. Its description in RNAcentral is "partial 16S ribosomal RNA". It matches the Rfam family "Bacterial small subunit ribosomal RNA", at positions 524 to 776 of the family's 1533-position model. The record is from RNAcentral.
UACAGAGGGUGCGAGCGUUAAUCGGAAUUACUGGGCGUAAAGGGCGCGUAGGCGGUAAUGCAAGUUAGAUGUGAAAUCCCCGAGCUUAACUUGGGAACUGCAUUUAAGACUGCAUGGCUAGAGUAGAAUAGAGGGGAGUGGAAUUUCCGGUGUAGCGGUGAAAUGCGUAGAUAUCGGAAAGAACACCAGUGGCGAAGGCGACUCUCUGGAUUCAUACUGACGCUGAGGCGCGAAAGCAUGGGGAGCAAACAGG